CCUACGGGGGGCUGCAGUAAGGAAUAUUGGUCAAUGGACGAAAGUCUGAACCAGCCAUCCCGCGUGCAGGAUGAAAGCCCUAUGGGUUGUAAACUGCUUUUAGCAGAGAAGAAAAGCUUUCAUUAAUGAGAGUCUGACGGUAUCUGCAGAAUAAGCACCGGCUAACUCCGUGCCCGCAGCCGCGGUAAUACGGAGGGUGCGGGAGUUAUCGGGAUGAAAUGGGGCGAAGGCGUGGGAAGGAGUCAGAUUAGAAAGCUUGUCGCUUAACGAUAAAAUUGCCAAUGAUACUGGUACUCUUGAAUUGGGUUGAGGUUAGCGGAAUGUGACAUGUAGCGGUGAAAUGCAUAGAUAUGUCAUGGAACACCAAUUGCGAAGGCAGCUAACUGGGCCUUGAUUGACGCUGAGGCACGAAAGCGUGGGUAGCGAACAGGAUUAGAUACCCCAGUAGUC
RNAcentral lists this ribosomal RNA (450 nucleotides) under uncultured bacterium. RNAcentral's name for it is "partial 16S ribosomal RNA". It matches the Rfam family "Bacterial small subunit ribosomal RNA", at positions 338 to 795 of the family's 1533-position model. The record is from RNAcentral.